AAUCAGUAUAAAAAUCAGGAAUACGCAAUUCGUGCUGCUAAUUUAAAGGUUUAAUUGCUGGAUUCUCAAUGAAGAAAACUUUAUAUUUGUAAAAGCUGGUGCUGCAAGUUGAGAUAAUUUAAUAACAAUUCUACAAUAAUCAAUAGGUUGUCCAUGCCCCCAUGAAGAAGUUAAAAGUGCUGCGAAUGGCAAUAGAAUUGAAUCUCCAGCCACCUGCUUGUACCAUUGUUCUUUCUUCUACCAACACAGCAGCACCCUUGAUUUUCUUCCCGCUCCAUCUGUAUCCCAAUGCAUCUUAGUAAUAUCAGAAUGAUAAGUUCAAUCCCAUGAAAGGUUUUCAUUCU
Molecule: long non-coding RNA, 344 nt
Filed under: Vigna radiata
Lineage: Eukaryota; Viridiplantae; Streptophyta; Magnoliopsida; Fabales; Fabaceae
Description: long non-coding RNA (VRAD_LNC002407)
Source: RNAcentral